UUGGCAGCCGAUUGCAGUGGGCGGGUGAGGGGACGAGGACUCUCCAUACCCCUGUGCCUCUUUUGCCCCAAAGGCGAGGAGAGCCUGUCCCCAGUACCCUGGGGCAUCCAUGGAGCUGUCUGCGUUAGUUCCUUUGGCUCGCCUCAGGUCUGAACCUUGGUGGCAGAGAAGAAAUUUCAUGUGCUUUGGAGAUGGAGGGGCUGAAAAAGCGAGGAUACCUUCCCACCCAAUCUAAGGUCUCGUUCCCAUUCGAUUGUGGGUGUUUCUGCACCCGGAAGCCAGCUCUUCGGGGCUCCGGGGCUCGUCUGCUCUUCCAAAGAGAAAAAGGACAAAAGGCCGGCGUCCAUGUUGGCACCAUGACGCAGCAUCUCUCCCGCCUGCAGCCCGGCGCUGCUUGUCCUCCGGGCCGCGCUCGCUCCUCCCUCCCAAACACGAGUUUUAUUUUCAGGUUUUUGAGCCGAGCCGAGGGCUGGGUCGGGUUGGAGCCAAAGCUGAAGCCGCCCGGCCGUUCACUACUGCUAUGGCUAAUGGCGGCCGGCUUUCCUCCUUCCUUCCGCCAUCCUGCUUUCCCCCGGUUGUCGCUGGGAGCCGGGAGGCAGUACCGGGCCCUAAGAGCCUGCGAGGCACGGCGCCCGCGAUCCUGGUGACGGGUCUCGGGGGACCUUAGGCCUCGGGGGGGGGGGGCGUCGCGCACCAUAAUUCCCGACUCGCUCCCCCCAGCCCCCUCCCCGGGCGCGGCUCGGACAGUGGCGGCCG
RNAcentral lists this long non-coding RNA (756 nucleotides) under Rattus norvegicus (Norway rat). RNAcentral describes it as "long non-coding RNA NONRATT007512". Lineage: Eukaryota; Metazoa; Chordata; Mammalia; Rodentia; Muridae. The record is from RNAcentral.